UACGUAGGGUCCGAGCGUUGUCCGGAGUUACUGGGCGUAAAGGGCGCGCAGGCGGCGGUGCUGGCCCGGCGUGAAAGCCCCCGGCUCAACCGGGGAGGGUCGUCGGGGACCGCACCGCUUGAGGGCGGCAGGGGCUGGUGGAAUGCCUGGUGUAGUGGUGAAAUGCGUAGAGAUCAGGCGGAACACCCGUGGCGAAGGCGGCCAGCUGGGCCGGCCCUGACGCUGAGGCGCGAAGGCGUGGGGAGCGAACGGG
RNAcentral lists this ribosomal RNA (253 nucleotides) under uncultured bacterium. RNAcentral describes it as "partial 16S ribosomal RNA". It matches the Rfam family "Bacterial small subunit ribosomal RNA", at positions 524 to 776 of the family's 1533-position model. The record is from RNAcentral.